This is a long non-coding RNA of Meriones unguiculatus (Mongolian gerbil), 2219 nucleotides long. RefSeq lists it as uncharacterized. Lineage: Eukaryota; Metazoa; Chordata; Mammalia; Rodentia; Muridae. The record is from RefSeq and is a predicted model, not a curated record. The transcript is spliced from 3 exons.
UCUACUGCACUCAGGCCCUUGGAGCAGCUCUCCAGAGCUCAUGUCACCAGGACCACAUCUACAGUUUGUGUUUUGUGAUGCCCAGGUGAGGUGUGGGCUGCCUUCCUAAGGGCUGCAGCUGGCCAGGGGUAAGGCCAGCUCCGCAAAGCCCUCAGCCAUCAACAUGGCACCAAGUGGCAGCCUAUGCCAGGGAUGUCCAUAUGGUCUUUGGUGGUAACAUGGGCCAUGGACAUUGAUGCAGAUCCCUGCCACUCCACGCAGACAUGGCCCUUGGUGGUAGCCUGGGCUGGAAGGCUGCUCACCACGCUUGCGUCCCCAAUUCCUCUCCUCUUCAUAGUGCACAAACUGUUCUGUUUCUCUCUCUUUUCUAUCUCUCCACCACAUACUUGCUCAUUGUAGCGGUGCCUCUUAAAGCCCAAUCUAUGGAGGGAUUUUCUCAGUUUGGGUUCCCUCCUCUCAGGAGAGCUCGUCUCAUGACAUGAAAUUAGCUAGAACCUGUGGUAUGUGUAUAGUACGUGUUGUGUGUACUGAGGGGUGCAUGUGAUGUGUGUAUGGAGUGGUUGGUAUGAGCGUGUGGUUGUGUGUGUGUGAUAUAUGUGUGUGUCUGCGGUGUUUGGUGUGUGUGUGUGGUUUGACUGUGGGUGGUGUGGUGUGUCUGUGUGCUGUGCUAUGUGUGUGUCUGGUUUGUGUGGUAUUUGUAUGGCGUAUGAGGGAUGUGGUGUGCCGUUCUCCCUGGCGUAGCCUGUUGUGUAAGAAGAGGAAGAGGCCCAGCAACAGCCUUCAGGGAGCCCUCACUGCCGAAGGCCGUCCUCUGCCCACCACCUCCAAAGAGGAAGGUAACAAUAAAGGUCAAGACAAAAUGACACCAAAGUACCAGCAAAAUGAGGAAUGUUUAGCUGGUGGCAGUGAGCUGCUGCAGGCCAGCCUGGGAAUCUGGGGCAGAGCCAUUCUGGCACUCAGCCCUCCCAGUUCUAAAUCUAGUGCUUUCCCACCCGCCCCACGGCUACCACCAGAUUCCACGGAUUCUCACUGUAGCAGGCACUGUGCUCUCACAGGUGUCAUCCCGUCAGUGCGUACAGCAGCCUCGAGGUCUCUGGUGCACGACUUGGGUGCCAAGCUUCUACUUUGUGAGUGCUUUGGGCUGAUAGCAACUCUGCAGGAGCAAAGUUGGGCUGCUUGUCCCCUUAGCAGGGUCCAGGUGACGGCUCCAGGAGGAGCAGAAGCUGAGAGGCCCGGCCCCUCAGGCUUGCCUGAGCAAAACUACCAACACCUGCUCCUCGCUGCACAUUUGAUUUGGAAGAUGGGAUCUUUGCCUCUUCUGGGAGCUCCAGAGGUCUAACUUUGGCUCCUGCCUUGGGACUUCUCAGCUCCAGCCCUGGACAAGGGCAGGACAAAUGAACCGUGUGUUCUGGACACCCCAGCCGGUUUGUGAUAGUCCUGGCUGAACCCCUACCCCACAUGCUGGGCUGCAACAGUGAGAACCACAUCUUGUUUGUCUGUAGAAGGAAAGACAGAGAUCCUGGAGCUCCCGGCUGCGGGAGGAAGGGGGAGGGGCACCCUCGCUGUGCCCUCUCUCCACAGUCUCUGGCUCUGAAGCCUGGCAGGUCCUAUGUGGGACUAGCUACAUUGUGAAAUCAAGAGGCCUUGAAAUAACAUGUUUUCCAGAAAAGUACCUUCCUUAGAGGAAACCACUUGUUCCAAGGAAUAGAAAAGGGUCAUUGUGUCUUGCCAGGUCCCCAUUCCUGAGGUCGUGACACUUGAAAGCACAGUUGGAGACACAGUUAGAGUCUACAAGCCUCUACAGACUCCCAUGCAGACGGCCCCAUGUAGUAUACCUGCAGUUAGAAGUGCCUUAACUGCCAGCAGGAAUGGCUGACUGGCAUGUUCCAGCACGGCCACAAAGAUUUACAUUACGCAGGCUUCAAACAAGAAGGUAAAUUUAAACUCUGAACAAAAAAAAAAUAAUAACAAUUUGUCACAAAUUAGCAAGCAAGAAGUACAGUGAUUCAGAGGACUGUCCAGCUGUGUAAAACUUGACUUUUGGUAAAAUACAUUUCUCUGUUUGGAAGAUGUGAAGAACUCUAGGCCCUGGCGAACUGUUAUCUCGAGGCUGGACAGCAGAAGAUACAGAACUUGGCCAUACUCCAGUUUUCUUAGGGUCCCCAAAAGAUGCCUUCACCCCCAGAUAACAGAAAGCAAUUUUAAGAACACAACACCCC